RNAcentral lists this ribosomal RNA (457 nucleotides) under uncultured bacterium. RNAcentral describes it as "partial 16S ribosomal RNA". It matches the Rfam family "Bacterial small subunit ribosomal RNA", at positions 339 to 795 of the family's 1533-position model. The record is from RNAcentral.
CUACGGGGUGCACCAGUCGAGAAUCAUUGUCAAUGAGCGCAAGCUUGAACGUGCGACGCCGCGUGUGGGAUGAAGGCCUUCGGGUUGUAAACCACUGUCAGGAGCUAACAAUAAGCGUGUAACCCACGUGAUGAGUUAAACUCCAGAGGAAGUGACAGCUAACUACGUGCCAGCAGCUGCGGUAAUACGUAGGUCGCAAACGUUGUUCGGAUUUACUGGGCUUAAAGGGCGCGUAGGCGGUUUCGCAAGUCAAGGUUGAAAUCCGGCGGCUCACCCGUCGAAGUGGCCUCGAUACGGCGGAACUAGAAUCAGGGAGGGGUGCGCGGAACUUGUGGUGGAGCGGUGAAAUGCUCAGAUAUCACAGGGAACACCGGAGGCGAAGGCGGCGCACUGGCCAUGUAUUGACGCUGAGGCGCGAAAGCGUGGGGAGCGAACGGGAUUAGAUACCCUCGUAGUC